CUAAAAAGGCAGCAGAUAGGGUUUUAAAGAAAACAAAGAUGCGGUUUCAAAUGAAAGUACUAGGUUCAGACCUAUGCCAAAACUUGCCGGAUGGGGAUUACUUCAACCUGGACCCGACACUGGGCGAUCCGCAAUGUACUUUCAUCCGUUGUUCAAUGCGUUCAUCCUUUCUGUGGGCCUGUCCCCGCGGGACGUAUAACGGUCCGCGAAGCAGCUUCCUGUCGAGACCCUUGGGCAUGCGCUUCUGUAAAGAGCACGACCGCGGAUACUGCAUGGAAUGACGUCACUGAUAGAAGUGACGUCAUGGACUGGGUGGCGUCACAAAAGCUAGGAUUAGGCUUGUGGCGGGGAUCACAGAUAACGUGGACCAGAAGCGAUCAUGAUUAUUUAACAAAAUGCAAAGUAGGGAAUGGAAGGAAGAAUACUGAUACAUAAUCUGAAUUGGAUUUAAGACGGUGAUGGGCAGGUCGGGAUGAAAUAGAGUGACACAGACAUAGAAUGAUAAUAAUUGAAGAAAUAUAUCCCAAAUCAACUAUACAAUAUAGCUGAAUAUUAUUCGCAGACUUGUUAAUUUUUUAACAGCGCCAUAGAAUUUAGAGUGCACGUGUUCUUAUUUUCAAAUAAAUCUACACUGACUUCAAA
Molecule: long non-coding RNA, 642 nt
Organism: Lingula anatina
Lineage: Eukaryota; Metazoa; Brachiopoda; Lingulata; Lingulida; Lingulidae
Source: RefSeq, a predicted model, not a curated record